ACAAAACCCCAAAAAACUGUAUUUGCUAAUAUUGGGAUAAUACAGAGAAGAUUAGCAUGGUCCCUCUGUAAGGAUGAAAUGCAAAUUUGAGAAGUGUUCUAUAAUAAA
Molecule: small nuclear RNA, 108 nt
Organism: Suncus etruscus (white-toothed pygmy shrew)
Lineage: Eukaryota; Metazoa; Chordata; Mammalia; Eulipotyphla; Soricidae
Source: RefSeq, a predicted model, not a curated record